UUAAUGGAGAGUUUGAUCCUGGCUCAGGACGAACGCUGGCGGCGUGCCUAAUACAUGCAAGUCGAGCGGGGUUAGUUAGAAGCUUGCUUCUAACUAACCUAGCGGCGGACGGGUGAGUAACACGUAGGCAACCUGCCCACAAGACAGGGAUAACUACCGGAAACGGUAGCUAAUACCCGAUACAUCCUUUUCCUGCAUGGGAGAAGGAGGAAAGGCGGAGCAAUCUGUCACUUGUGGAUGGGCCUGCGGCGCAUUAGCUAGUUGGUGGGGUAAAGGCCUACCAAGGCGACGAUGCGUAGCCGACCUGAGAGGGUGAUCGGCCACACUGGGACUGAGACACGGCCCAGACUCCUACGGGAGGCAGCAGUAGGGAAUCUUCCGCAAUGGGCGAAAGCCUGACGGAGCAACGCCGCGUGAGUGAUGAAGGUUUUCGGAUCGUAAAGCUCUGUUGCCAGGGAAGAACG
This 464-nucleotide ribosomal RNA is filed under the name Paenibacillus polymyxa. RNAcentral describes it as "bacterial SSU rRNA". It matches the Rfam family "Bacterial small subunit ribosomal RNA", at positions 1 to 451 of the family's 1533-position model. The record is from RNAcentral. Lineage: Bacteria; Bacillati; Bacillota; Bacilli; Caryophanales; Paenibacillaceae.